This 468-nucleotide ribosomal RNA is filed under the name uncultured bacterium. Its description in RNAcentral is "partial 16S ribosomal RNA". It matches the Rfam family "Bacterial small subunit ribosomal RNA", at positions 28 to 507 of the family's 1533-position model. The record is from RNAcentral.
GACGAACGCUGGCGGCGUGCUUAACACAUGCAAGUCGAACGGAAAGGCCCUGCUUUUGUGGGGUGCUCGAGUGGCGAACGGGUGAGUAACACGUGAGUAACCUGCCCUUGACUUUGGGAUAACUUCAGGAAACUGGGGCUAAUACCGGAUAGGAGCUCCUGCUGCAUGGUGGGGGUUGGAAAGUUUCGGCGGUUGGGGAUGGACUCGCGGCUUAUCAGCUUGUUGGUGGGGUAGUGGCUUACCAAGGCUUCGACGGGUAGCCGGCCUGAGAGGGUGACCGGCCACAUUGGGACUGAGAUACGGCCCAGACUCCUACGGGAGGCAGCAGUGGGGUAUAUUGCACAAUGGGCGGAAGCCUGAUGCAGCAACGCCGCGUGCGGGAUGACGGCCUUCGGGUUGUAAACCGCUUUCGCCUGUGACGAAGCGUGAGUGACGGUAAUGGGUAAAGAAGCACCGGCUAACUACGUG